Molecule: ribosomal RNA, 256 nt
Filed under: uncultured bacterium
Lineage: Bacteria
Description: partial 16S ribosomal RNA
Rfam family: Bacterial small subunit ribosomal RNA
Source: RNAcentral
GACGUAGGGGGCGAACGUUAUCCGGAAUUAUUGGGCGUAAAGGGUGCGUAGAUGGUUUGAUAAGUUAGUGGUGGGAAAUCGAGGCUCAACCUCGUGGAAGUCACUAAUACUAUCAAACUAGAGUGCAGGAGAGGUUAACGGAACUCCAUGUGUAGCGGUAAAAUGCGACGAUAUAUGGAUGAACACCAAUAACGGCGAAGGCAGUUAACUAUUCUGCUACUGACAUUGAGGCACGAAAGCGUGGGGAGCAAAACGG